GACGAACGCUGGCGGCGUGCUUAACACAUGCAAGUCGAACGGAAAGGCCCUGCUUUUGUGGGGUGCUCGAGUGGCGAACGGGUGAGUAACACGUGAGUAACCUGCCCUUGACUUUGGGAUAACUUCAGGAAACUGGGGCUAAUACCGGAUAGGAGCUCCUGCUGCAUGGUGGGGGUUGGAAAGUUUCGGCGGUUGGGGAUGUACUCGCGGCUUAUCAGCUUGUUGGUGGGGUAGUGGAUUACCAAGGCUUUGACGGGUAGCCGGCCUGAGAGGGUGACCGGCCACAUUGGGACUGAGAUACGGCCCAGACUCCUACGGGAGGCAGCAGUGGGGAAGAUUGCACAAUGGGCGGAAGCCUAAUGCAGCAACGCCGCGUGCGGGAUGACGGCCUUCGGGUUGUAAACCGCUUUCGCCUGUGACGAAGCGUGAGUGACGGUAAUGGGUAAAGAAGCACCGGCUAACUACGUG
This 468-nucleotide ribosomal RNA is filed under the name uncultured bacterium. RNAcentral describes it as "partial 16S ribosomal RNA". It matches the Rfam family "Bacterial small subunit ribosomal RNA", at positions 28 to 507 of the family's 1533-position model. The record is from RNAcentral.